GUCUAGGACCAUCCCACCCUGAACAUGCCCGAUCUCGUCUGAUUUCGGAAGCUAAGCAGGGUCGGGCCUGGUUAGUACUCGGAUGGGAGAAAAAUAACAGUGGUAACACAGUUGCCACAGAAG
Ribosomal RNA from Erinaceus europaeus (western European hedgehog), 123 nucleotides. The record is from Ensembl. Lineage: Eukaryota; Metazoa; Chordata; Mammalia; Eulipotyphla; Erinaceidae.